RNAcentral lists this ribosomal RNA (1487 nucleotides) under metagenome. RNAcentral's name for it is "bacterial LSU rRNA". It matches the Rfam family "Bacterial large subunit ribosomal RNA", at positions 1391 to 2874 of the family's 2925-position model. The record is from RNAcentral.
GUAAGGCGAGGCAGAAAUGCGUAGCUGAUGGGAAGCAGGUUAAUAUUCCUGCACCAUUGUUAGAUGCGAUGGGGGGACGGAUCGCGGAAGGUUGUCCGGGUGUUGGAAGUCCCGGUCCUUGCAUUGGAGAAGGCGCUUAGGCAAAUCCGGGCGCGGAAUUCAAGGGUGUGAGGCGAGCGGCUUAGGCCGCGAAGCAAUCGGAAGUGGUUCCAAGAAAAGCCUCUAUGCUUCAGUCUAACAAGACCGUACCGCAAACCGACACAGGUGGGCGAGAUGAGUAUUCUAAGGCGCUUGAGAGAACUCGGGAGAAGGAACUCGGCAAAUUGGUACCGUAACUUCGGGAUAAGGUACGCCCUUGUAGCUUGACUGGCCUGCGCCAGGAGGGUGAGAGGGUUGCAAUAAACUGGUGGCUGCGACUGUUUAAUAAAAACACAGCACUCUGCAAACACGAAAGUGGACGUAUAGGGUGUGACGCCUGCCCGGUGCCGGAAGAUUAAAUGAUGGGGUGCAAGCUCUUGAUUGAAGUCCCGGUAAACGGCGGCCGUAACAAUAACGGUCCUAAGGUAGCGAAAUUCCUUGUCGGGUAAGUUCCGACCUGCACGAAUGGCGUAACGAUGGCCACACUGUCUCCUCCCGAGACUCAGCGAAGUUGAAGUGUUUGUGAUGAUGCAAUCUCCCCGCGGCUAGACGGAAAGACCCCAUGAACCUUUACUGUAGCUUUGCAUUGGACUUUGAACCGAUCUGUGUAGGAUAGGUGGGAGGCUAUGAAACCGGAACGCUAGUUUCGGUGGAGCCGUCCUUGAAAUACCACCCUGGUUUGUUUGAGGUUCUAACCUUGGUCCGUUAUCCGGACUGGGGACAGUGCAUGGUAGGCAGUUUGACUGGGGCGGUCUCCUCCCAAAGUGUAACGGAGGAGUACGAAGGUACGCUAGGUACGGUCGGAAAUCGUGCUGAUAGUGCAAUGGCAUAAGCGUGCUUAACUGCGAGACCGACAAGUCGAGCAGGUGCGAAAGCAGGUCAUAGUGAUCCGGUGGUUCUGUAUGGAAGGGCCAUCGCUCAACGGAUAAAAGGUACUCUGGGGAUAACAGGCUGAUACCGCCCAAGAGUUCAUAUCGACGGCGGUGUUUGGCACCUCGAUGUCGGCUCAUCUCAUCCUGGGGCUGUAGCCGGUCCCAAGGGUAUGGCUGUUCGCCAUUCAAAGAGGUACGUGAGCUGGGUUUUAGACGUCGUGAGACGGUUUGGUCCCUAUCUGCCGUGGGCGUUGGAUAUUUGAAGGGGGCUGCUCCUAGUACGAGAGGACCGGAGUGGACGAACCUCUGGUGUACCGGUUGUCACGCCAGUGGCAUCGCCGGGUAGCUAUGUUCGGAAGAGAUAACCGCUGAAAGCAUCUAAGCGGGAAACUCGCCUUAAGAUGAGAUAUCCCCGGGGACUUGAUCCCCUUGAAGGGUCGUUCUAGACCAGGACGUUGAUAGGUCAGGUGUGGAAGC